CAUCGUGAAAUACAUUGUUCUUCCUCCCAAGUACGGAACGAAUCAUCCGAAUUACGGCUCGCAAUUUGACAGUUUUCCUUUUCGCUUGUUUCUUCCGUUUGAAAACGCAUGGGAAAUAAAAGAUAUUAGCCAACUGGUUUCGUUCAAAUUUCCAUAAGAAUUAGAGAGGCAUCGAUUUAGUCGUAAUUCGCAUGGCGAUUAAGAACGAAUUUCCCGCUUUUGCUGUAAUUCGCUCACUAAAAUUUGUAUGUCGAAUUAUAUAAUAGGACAUGCAUUUGGCGAAUAACAAAUAAGAGAGCGAAACAUUUAAGUUUUCCUAGCUCGUGGCUCGUCGCCGGUAGCGGCUAUUCUGUUUGUGCUCGGGCUGCACUCAAUUUCACUUGCUUAAUUUUUUUUAUAUCGAUAAUGUUAAUGAAUAUCUUUAGUAUGUAAUCAUAACUGCAAUUUUGCGUUAUGGGUUGUGGAUUUAUUUUUAGUUUGUUUUUUUUUUUUAGUUUGCUUUUCAUUCGAUUUUACCGAUGAAAAUUAUCUGUACAGCAAAGAAAGUCUACAGUCAUAUAAAAUAAAAUAUUAGCAACCGUUAAUGAGUUUUUCUCAAAUGCUGUGUUAUAUAUACAUAUAUGGUGCUUCAAAUUUUAUCAAAUAUGAUAUAUAAAAGAAAGUUGUAUAAAAACUAUAACGCGUACAACUUCUGAAGAAAAAACUGAGAAUCGAAGCUUAUAUUAAAUAAAAGUUUUGUGCUCGAUAAACAACAUGACACAUUUACCAAGCUCAUUAAAUGGUUUCGCAGUUUGUCUCUUCGUAUUCUGGUGUGGAACUUGGUGUGUUCAUCUUUUGGCCAUAUGUUACGG
Molecule: long non-coding RNA, 851 nt
Filed under: Ceratitis capitata (Mediterranean fruit fly)
Lineage: Eukaryota; Metazoa; Arthropoda; Insecta; Diptera; Tephritidae
Description: uncharacterized LOC105665076, transcript variant X1
Source: RNAcentral